GCUGGAUCGCGGAUAGGGAGCGCGAGCGUGAAGAAACCGGCCGCCAUCUUACGGUGCUCACAACAGUCGCCGCAGCGAUCAUGGCAACUUCUUGCAAUUGCGGUCGUACCAACCGUACUGGCAAGGUUACAGGGCCUAAAUUUAUACAGGUUUCGUCAUGAGGGCUACCCAGUGAAUAAUCUGUGUAGUGUGAUACGGCUGGGUGUACAGGUUACUUCACAGCUGCCUCGACAUACUCAAGAAAUGGGUGCAGAACCUGCGUAAUGCCCACAAACUUUGAUUACCACAGCACCUCCAGAAAGUAUGUGUCACAUGGGAUUUUUAAAUGUAUUCACAGUAUAUAAUACCUUGUAUUAACGGUUGUAGAUCUAAGCCGUCUCUACAGUACACUCUCAGAAAUUAAAACCGUGAGAACCGUGAUAAUUGUUUCAGUUAAUAGGCAUGCACAUAUAUGCUAUAAGAAGAAAAUUAUUUCUUGAGAAUGCACUUCUCUGGCUACCGGUGUUGUUUACAUCUACUGUUGAUCACAUUCAUUUAUCACGUAUUAUAUUCUUAUAUAUACUAUUAUAUUAACACAUAUUUGAUCACAUUAAAUUCAAAAUUCAUCAUAUAUAAGAAAAUACCAGGAGGGAAGUUGCUAUUCAUUGCUCAUUCUAACCUAAAAUUGAGUGCUACAAAUUUAGAGACAGUACCUGUCCAUUGUCAUUCCUAAAAUAUAUAUUGUCAUUGUAGCAAGGUCAUAAAACAAUAAAUGUAGUCUUUUGUGACCUCCCUGCACGUUCAUUGUAUCCUGAAACGCAUAAGUGCAAGAAAUAACUUUAAUAAACGUGAUAUAAAAUGUUGAAUAAUAUAAUGUAUGAUAUAAAAUGUUG
Molecule: long non-coding RNA, 872 nt
Organism: Ornithodoros turicata
Lineage: Eukaryota; Metazoa; Arthropoda; Arachnida; Ixodida; Argasidae
Exons: 3
Source: RefSeq, a predicted model, not a curated record